RNAcentral lists this long non-coding RNA (8002 nucleotides) under Populus tremula. RNAcentral describes it as "long non-coding RNA (PTRE_LNC000316)". Lineage: Eukaryota; Viridiplantae; Streptophyta; Magnoliopsida; Malpighiales; Salicaceae. The record is from RNAcentral.
CAUGGAAACUGUGGACGGAAGAGAGGGCAUUGGAGCUUCUUGACAAUAUGUCAGAUCGCCCGUAUUCUGUAUCUGAAGUAUUGAGAUGCAUUCAUGUGGGUCUGCUAUGCGUGCAACAAAAGCCGGAAGACAGACCAAAUAUGUCAUCUGUGGUUUUGAUGUUGGGCAGUGAGAAUUCAUUGCCUGACCCAAAGCAACCUGGUUUUUUCACGGAAAGGAAUAUGCCCGCAGUGGACUCUUCAUCAGGAAAUCAUGAAUCAUCGUCUAUAAAUGACCUAACUAUUUCAGAGCUAGAUGCACGGUAGAAGAUUGGCUCUGAUGGUUAAAAGGAAGAGCUAUAUAUAUAUAUAUAUAUGUAUGUAUAUUCUAGCCAAAUCCAAGGCAUAUAACAGAAAUUAAAUAUUUUCUGCUAUAAUUAUGUUGAUGUAUUAUUUUUACCUGUCUACAAGUCCUCUGCAAGUACUAGUGCGAAUACAGAUAGACAGAAUGCUUGAGGAUUCACAUCUCUGGACUGCACAAUAUCUGUACUUGUUUGCUUCGAGCCGUCGAAUUUAAUGCACGGAUCUGGGUUCAAGAUCUAUAUAUGCUAGAGCCUCACUGGCUUCUAACCCAAAAAGAAUCCAUUAGAAUUGUCAAUAUAUAAUUAGUAAAAAAAAAUUACAUACAAUUUAAACAAUCCAAAUUUAUAAUUCAAAUUUACAUUAUAUUUUUCAUAACAUGUUAAAAAAAUAUAUUUUUAACAACCAUACAAGGAGCUAUAGUCUUUCCUUGAUUGAUUUCAUAGCACCUUAAACUUAGCCUUGACCUAACCCUUUUAGGGAUAAAUAUUAUAGGUACGAGUACCUUGAUGAUACUUAGCCUUUGUAGGGGAAUCCGACCGGUGAUGUUUUGAUAUUUGCUCAUAGUAGGCUAAGCACACUAACACAAUAUUUAACGUGGUUCGACAAACCGCCUACAUCCACGGGAGAAACCAUUUGAUUAUAUAGGGAGAGAACAAGAUUUACAACAGUAGAGGAGGAGGAAUCAUCCCCUCUUUGGCAACUCUCAACCUCACUCUAUUUUUCUCUUCUCAAUGCUGCAUUGGCAGCUACUGCUGGCUGCCUUGGCAGCCCACUCUCUCUUACAUUUCUCUCAUAUUUGGCUCUACUUUCACUCUCAUUUUGCUCUCUAAAAUCAUGCCUCUUUUAUAGGCAUCAAUGGCAGCUCCUCUUGCUCCUUUGUCAGCAAUGGUGGCUUCCAAACUUACCAAACUUUGACAAUAGACAAUGGUUGUUGGCUGCCACCAACAACCCACCAUUAUAGCCUCAUUCUUUGACUCUCACAUAGCAGUCAUCUUCUUUGACAUAGGCAGCCACAUAAUUGGCAAUAUUCCAACAAUCACCCCCUUUGCCAUUUAUGUGGGGCAACUAUCCUCUUGCUUCUUCAGCACAUGCUUGCAUCUUGCAGCUUUUCCAAGCUUACCAUUCAACCAGAUGGUUUGUCACAUCUCAUCUGAAGAGUGUUUAAUGCUUGUCUCUGGAACAACAUUCCCCUUCAAGCAUAUCAACCAUGCUUGGCCUGGAAUGAUUUAUCAAGCCUUACAUCAAGGCUUACAACACCCCCUCAAACUGAUAUUCCCAAGUGCGAUAGUCAUUGAGUAUUUUAAUGUGAUCACGAGCUCACCACUCUUCCAAGAGCCUACUCAUCCAGGAGUUGCGUCUGCCCUCUAUUCCACCCUAGGAACCACGCCUUACUUCUCCGUGAGUCUCUCACUCUUAGUCUCAAGAGUCCGGGUAGCAUCCACCUUUACUUAUGGGGGCAGCCCAUUAAAGGUUGAUCCAUAUCUAUCUUCAUACUCUGAGUAUUACAAUGCUUUCACCGAGCUCACCACCUUGACAAGAGUCAACUUGUUCCCGGAACCUGCGCAUGCCCUCUGCUCCUUCAUAGCAGUCGCGUCUUAAUGCUCCACAAGUCACCCACUUAUUGUCCAAGGUAAAUGUCUUCUAGCUCAUUGAUCUUUAGCAUGGGGGCAAUAUCCAUGAAAGUCAAUCCUGCAUUUGUCUUCAUACUCAUCAUAGACUCUUCAUUGGCUAUACACUUGUCCACUUAUAUCCAGCCAUCAUAUUGGCUCUAGGGCUGGGCUCUUUUCAUGGCCCUCACACCUUCUCGUGAGGUGUCUCCGCUCGUCGUCAUGCGAUAGUCUGAAUCUGGGCUAAUAUUAUAGCCCUCACACCGUCCAUCCGAGGUGUCUCCGUUCAUCGUCAUGCGGCUUCAUGUCCCUCACACCUUCUCCGAAGGUGUCUUCGCCCGUUGUCAUGGGGCAGUCUGAUCUUGGGCUCAUAUCAUGGCCCUCACACCUUCUGUCUGAGGUGUCUCCGCCUAUCGUUAUGAGACGGCCUGAACAUGGACUCAUAUCAAGGUCCUCACACCUUCUGUCCAAGGUAUCUCCGCCUGUCGUCAUGAGACGGUCUGAACAUGGACCCAUAUCAUGGUCCUAACACCUUUCGUCUGAGGUGUCUCCGCCUGUUGUCAUGAGACGGUCUGAAUCUGGGCUCAUAUUAUAGCCCUCACACCUUCCAUCCGAAGUGUCUCCGCUCAUCGUGGAGCGGUCUGAAUCUAGGUUCAUAUCAUGGCCCACAAACCUUCCUCUAAGGUGUCUCUGCCCGUUGUCAUGGGACAGUCUGAUCUUGGACCCAUAUCAUGGUCCUCACACCUUCUGUCUAAGGUGUCUCUGCCUGUUGUCAUGAGACGGCCACAUCCUCCUUCAUCGGGGAUGUCUCUAGUGGCUCUAAGAUUCUCUACCACCAUGUGGACUUGGGAGAGAUUACUGCCACUGAUUACAUAGAAAGAUAAAGUUGUGGCAUACUCCUCGCAAUCCUCCACCUCGAUUUCUAUGUCUGGAGCUUCUACGCCUUUCUACUUGAUAGCUCCACCUACACCACUCUCUUUAGUGUCUUCGCCUUUCAUCAUAGGCGGUCACCUUUGUCACAGGCGUUUGCACCCCCUCAAUUAGGUGCCUCUGCAACAGCUCAUCUUUCCAUCAUUGCAUGCAUUGGAAAGGUCCUCGCUUGUUGCCUUCAUCAAGAGCACAAGAGAUUUCUUGUUGUAUAACUUUUUCACACCGUCUCUACUCUAAGCUUCAUCUGGGAACUCUUAUUCUCCUUGCACCUACUGUCUCAUUACAGUACCUCGUUGGAUCCUACGGGUACUCCUGCACAAUCUCCGUGUGCUCUCGUGCAAUUCCGGUUCUCUAGAUUUCUCCCUAUUUUUUGCUUUUAUGUUUGACAACAGCUCAUCCUGUCACAACAUUUAUCCAAGUCAAAAUAGGGUGCCAAUCUUUAUCCCCUUGUUGUAUUUCUCUUCCAUUAUCAGGGUCUUCAUUAAUUCUCCCUUCGAGAAAUUACAGUCACCGAAUCUAACUUCUUUGGAGAAAUCACCACUCCAUUAGAUCCUUGAACAUACGGAACCCAACUGUUCCUUUAUGUCGUCAUCUUGCUAGUCUUCAACAGUUUCAUUACAAACUGUUACAUAUACAAAAAUAGUACUGUGUGGAUGAUCCUUCAACUAAGCAAGUUCCCAGGAAAGAUUUGGAGGGGUCACACUGGUCCCGUGAUUAGUACUUAAAAGUGCAUGUUUAUCAAGGUUUUAUAUCAUCAUUUUGCACUUGAAGUAUCAAUAACUCCUUAACUAAAGCAUGUUUUAUAAUAACAAGUUUGAUACUAUAAGAUACCUUAAUUUAUGGUAAAUGCUCAUCUUAUAUGCAGGCCUAUCACAUAAAUAAAAUGAUUGAUUGAUGAGUUUAAGUAUUGAAAGUGAAAGGACAAAGAGAUGGCCAAACUUAGAAAAGAGAUGUCGGUGCAGUCCAAACCAGAACAUUGCUCGGUAAUUGGAUCAUAUUUGGAGCUCUAGAUCUCAGAUUUAGGUCCAUUUUAUAUGGAUGGAAAGGUAAUACAAAGGCCUACAACUUUCAUGAGGAGCCUAAGAUUUAAAAAGGUCGUUUUGAAGUCCAAAUUGAAGGAACAACGAAGAAGUCCGAAGCUGUCCUGCAGCCCAGACACUAUUUAGUGUUCAACCCAUAUCUUGAGUUCUAGAAGUCCAAAUGACCUCAUCUUUUUUUUUUUGGAAAGCUGAGACAAUUUCCUAGAACAUUCCUGAGGAUUCUGGGCAAAUUAUUAUGUUAGAAAUGACGUUUUGUUCAGACAAGAAGAUAAGGAUUGUCACCAAGUCAAGAUGUGGCCACCCACUCAUCAAUUAGUCAACAAAUCAAUAGUUCUAAAUUUUGGCCUAUAAAAGGAGGCACUUACCAUGUAUUGAGGCAUCUUGGUUUCCAGAUCAAGAUCAUGCUCUUGCUUUCUCUCUUUGUAUUGCUUAUGUCUUGCUUUCAUUAAUAUCAAGUUUAUGCACUUCAUUUUCUUUCCUUUACUUAGUUAACUUCUUUCUCAUUUAUGUUCUUAUCUUGUUCAUUUAUGUUUCUUUCUUUCAUUAUGUUCAGCUAAGUUAAUUAUGUCAAGGUGAAAAGGGUACACUAAUGGUGUAAGAAUAAGUAUAAUAUAAACUUAACAUGGACCUUAACGUUGGAUACUAACAUGUUUUAUAUUUGUUAUCUUGUUCACUUUUAAUACUUUGCUUGUUAAAUGGUUAAUCUAGAUUUAUGUUAUAUAACAUUUGGUACAACAAAUACUUGGUACUUUCAUAGCCCAUACUGUAUGGUAUAACCGACACCUGAGCUAUAAAAGGAACUUGAUUUGUUGUUAACAUAAGUUAUAAUCAUGAAUGCCUGCCAACAUUUACAAGUAUUAGCUUUAUUCGAAUAAGAUAACUAAUGUAAUCAUGUUAACAAUUUAUAAUCUGAUUGGAACCUCCUUUAUGUGUGGUUUCCAAUUGAGUAAUAAGAGUUUAUACUAUACUUGUUUGAAAUACCAUUAGUGGAUCCUCUAACCUUGACAUUUGUUGUUGUUAUUGUUUAAUCCUUACGUUAAUCUUUCAUCUCAAAGUUCUCAUUAAUUUCUUCAUCUUCUGCUUUUAUUAUUAUUAUUAUUAUUAUUAUUAUUAUUAUUAUUUACAUUCUGUUUAUAUUAUAUAAUAUAUAUCUUUGAUCUUUUCAUAAACUCAGUAUAUAGGCUGGAAACCUGUGACCCGAUCUUUUAGAUUAUUCUCAGGUAUAACAACGCCACGUACUAAGUAUUAUAAUUAUUAUUGUUGUUAUUAUUGUUGUUGUUGUUAUUGUUGUUGUAUUGUUAUUUAUAAUUUAUACAAUUAAUCUCUAUGUGGUUCGACCCCGGUUUUGCCGGGUUAUUUAUUACUUCGACACUCCUGCACUUGGGAAAAGACAUCAAGCUUUAGGUCGUGUCAAGUUUUUGGCGCCGUUGCCGGGGAGGUAAAUUCUUGUAUAAAUUAUAAUUUUUAUUUCUUUUUAUUUUUUUCAUUUUAUUUAAUUUUGUUUCUUUUCUUUUCUUGCUUUUAUUCUCUUUUUACACGUGCAUGAGAGUUUGGUCACGUAUAUUAAGUGGUCGACUUUGUAGGGUAUCCUCAUCAUUUUUAGAAAAUAUGGCUGAAGAAGAUAAUCAAUCGCUUCAUAAUGAGAAUAAUGAGAAUAACCGUAUGAGAACACUUAGAAAUCACAUGAAUCCCACAAGAACAAGUGCACCCUCAUGCAUAGUUUUCCCUUUCCUUUCCUGGUAUGAUACAAGCAUGAGGCUAGUAGAAUGCAAGGACAAGUGUCUAAAAAACUACAAUUGCACGGCAUAUGCAAAUUCAAAUAUCACAGGAGAAGGCAGUGGCUGCAUACUCUGGUUCGGUGAAUUGGCUGAUAUGAGAGAGUUUAGUUAUGGGGGCCAAGACCUCUACAUAAGGAUGCCACCACCUUUGAAAACAGGUAUUUUUCAAUAUUCUUCCCAUGAUUCUCAAGCAGGGUAUUUUUUUUCACUCUUUCUCUCUGUUUCUUUGUUUUUUUUUUUGAAAUGAGGAAGUUGUAUGUUCCUUGAAUGUUUUCCUAACUUCGUGUCCUCAUUUCCUCAUUCUAUUUACAAAUAAAACAGAACUCCUUUCUGUGUUUAUUGUGGGUUUUCAGAUCAGGCGACGUCAAACACAAAUUCUGGUAAGAAGAAGCUUUCAGGAAUCAUACUCGGUUCCACACUCCUUGCUGGAGUGCUUAUGGUAGGACUAAUCUUCUAUAUAUGGAGAAAGAAGCAGAAAAAGCAAGGUAGUGUACUGUGGACAAUUCUUCUUAUUCCAGAACAUGGACCUUGUUGAUAUAUAUAGUAUGCAUGGUAGAAUUUUAUGUUAGUCAUCGAUAACAAAAUGAAGCAUUUGUUAGAUCAUUGCUGACAACUGAUCAAUCUUCUGCUAUUCAGAAAUAGAGGAAGACAUGGAGUUGCCAUCGUUUCAUUUGGCCACCAUAGUGAAAGCAACGGAUAACUUUUCAAGCAACAACAAGUUGGGACAAGGUGGUUUUGGACCGGUAUAUAAGGUAUAUAACAACGUGCUUCAAAGCUGAGAGAUCAUCUACUAUGAGAUAUUCUAACUUCAGUAAAUAACGAUUCCCAGGGUACAUUGAUUGAUGGGCAAGAAAUAGCAGUGAAAAGACUCUCAAAAAGUUCUCGGCAAGGAUUGACAGAGUUCAAGAAUGAAGUUAUCUUGAUAGCUAAGCUUCAGCACAGAAAUCUUGUUAAACUUCUUGGCUGUUGCAUUCAAGGAGAUGAAGUAAUGUUGAUCUAUGAAUUCAUGCCCAACAAAAGCCUAGAUUGUUUUAUUUUCGGUUUGUACCCCAUGAACUGGUUAGAGUUUCUUGCAGUUAGAUUGCUUGUUCUAUGAUGUUUCAUUUAUACAUCAGAAUAACAUAACAUUAUGAUAAAUUGAUUAGAUCAAACAAGAAACAAAUUCCUGGACUGGCAGAGACGUAACCUCAUUAUCGGUGGCAUUGCUAGAGGACUACUUUAUCUUCAUCAAGACUCUAGACUAAGGAUUAUCCAUAGAGAUCUCAAAGCCAGCAACAUAUUAUUAGAUAAGGAUAUGAACCCCAAAAUUUCAGAUUUUGGAAUGGCUAGACUGUUUGGAGGAGACCAAAUUGAAGCAAACACAAAUAAAGUGGUCGGAACAUAGUAAGUACACUCUACACCUAUUUUGUUACAAUGUAUAAUCUCCGCACAUUUAAACUUUUUCUGAAAAUGUUUUUCCGCAGUGGAUACAUGUCCCCUGAGUACGUUGUUGAUGGGCGUUUCUCACUGAAAUCCGACGUCUUCAGCUUCGGUGGUUUAGUCUUGGAGAUAAUAAGUGGGAAGAAAAAUAGAGGAUUCUCCCACCCGGAUCAUUGCUAUAAUCUUCUUGGACAUGUAAGGAUAAAAUUAAACAUGUUAAUUUAAUUUAAUUAUGUAUUAACAAUUUUUCUCAUGACAAGUUUUUUGUUUUCCAGGCAUGGAAACUGUGGACGGAAGAGAGGGCAUUGGAGCUUCUUGAAAAUAUGUCAGAUCGCCCGUAUUCUGUAUCUGAAGUAUUGAGAUGCAUUCAUGUGGGUCUGCUAUGCUAUGGUUUUGAUGUUGGGCAGUGAGAAUUCAUUGCCUGACCCAAAGCAACCUGGUUUUUUCACGGAAAGGAAUAUGCCCGCAGUGGAGUACUCUUCAUCAGGAAAUCAUGAAUCAUCAUCUAUAAAUGACCUAACUAUUUCAGAGCUAGAUGCACUGUAGAAGAUUGGCUCUGAUGGUUAAAAGGAAGAGCAUAUAUAUAUAUAUAUAUAUAUAUAUAUAUUUCUAGCCAAAUCCAAGGCAUAUAACAGAAGUUAAAUAUUUUCUGCUAUAAUUAUGUUGAUGUAUUAUUUUUACCUGUCUACAAGUCCUCUGCAAGUACUGUUGCGAAUACAGAUAUACAGAAUGCUUGAGGAUUCACAUCUCUGGACUGCACAAUAUCUGUACUUGUUUGCUUCGAGCCAACGAAUUUAAUGCACGGAUCUGGGUUCAAGAUCUAUAUAUGCUAGAGCCUCACUGGCUUCUAACCCAAAAAGAAUCCAUUAGAACUUCUUACUAGAUUU